Molecule: long non-coding RNA, 1391 nt
Organism: Macrobrachium nipponense
Lineage: Eukaryota; Metazoa; Arthropoda; Malacostraca; Decapoda; Palaemonidae
Exons: 3
Source: RefSeq, a predicted model, not a curated record
GAGAUCAAUUGUUCGUGCAUUGUGAUGACACACGGCAGAUGACUCACUCAGUAGGAACAAGGCUCAGUAUGAACUUGGCCAGCAAACAGCUAAGGUGUCUCUCAGGUACUGCUAAAGAAGAGAUCGUUCGAGGACCUAUUACAGCGUUCAUUAGUGGCAUAGUCGAACAGAAACUGGAAAAAUAAAAUGGGUACCUGCGUCGUCAAACUUGUGUUAAUAACCUGUCUUCUUUGUCUACUCAGCACAGACACAGAUUCCAAACAAUUAGCGAAACGAUCUCUUGAAUCGUGCCGUCCCCGACGCAUGUUCAUACAAUGGAAGAAGGUCCGACAUUACCUGAAUAAAUACCGCCGAGCAGCAAUACCAGGGACAAUGGAAGCAGGUGACUUGAAAGUCAUGCGAUGCAGAUGCUUUCUAAGCAGAUGUACAUCAGCGGAUAAAGCUUAUUGUGGCGUCGACACCGAAAGAAUACAGCGAAGAAACCUAACCGUCGUGAACGAGAGAAAAGACAAAUGGGUCCUUACCCUAGAUUUUCGUCGAAGAUAAAAGCUGUCGAUGUAUGAAUGAGAGUGAAUACGAUAAAAUUGUACACGGCGAUGUUGCCGGUGUUCCCUUUUCAUUCAGUCACACGUGGACCAAAAAAGAACAGAAAAAUAGAACGUGAAGAAAGAAGAAAGUGGACCAGUCAGGAAGAAAUAAAGAAAAAAAUCAAAGAAAAUAGAAAAAAAGGGCAAAGAAAAAUGUACUGAGGUUUACUGCGAGCCAAUGGAGAGAAAGAUUGAGUAAGUGAAUGAAGGAUACAGUACAUCAAAAUCUCGUUUUCCUUCAGUCUUCCUUUCCACAAAAUUCAUUGAUACCCAUUAACAACUUUCUGAAAUAUCCAGACAGACAGACAGACAGACAGACAGACAGACAGACAGACAGACAGACAACUGAAAAGAAAAAGAGGUCAUGAAGGGUGCGGCGACCUGACUGGUAUUUGGAGAUAUUGCACUAUUAGUUCCGCCAAUGUAAACUGACCCUCAACAUAAUAUGUUUGUUAAUCUAAAAUACCUACUGUAUGUCAGUAUUACCCAAUGGGAAAACUGUUAUAGAAGUGGUAAAAAGGUUAGCAUAAGUGUAACGGAUGGACCACUGUAGUAUUUUGCGAUUGGUGGGUCAUGUGGAAAAAACGGACGACGAUUGGUUGGUGGACAAAAGUGUAGACUCCAGAAAUGUUCAGAGGAUGACGUGGAAGUGGGCCUAACCAUAGUAUACAAGACUUAUAAAAUAAAGAUUUUUUUUUCUCUCCGUAAAACAAGUUCCUAUUAGUUUGUAGAAUUAGAUUUUGUAUCAUCUAAUAUAUAUAUAUAUAUAUAUAUAUAUAUAUAUAUAUAUAUAUAUAUAUAUAU